UACGUAGGGACCAAGCGUUGUCCGGAUUUACUGGGCGUAAAGGGCGCGUAGGCGGCGUGGUAAGUCACUUGUGAAAUCUCUGAGCUUAACUCAGAACGGCCAAGUGAUACUGCUGUGCUUGAGUGUGGAAGGGGCAAUCGGAAUUCUUGGUGUAGCGGUGAAAUGCGUAGAUAUCGAGAGGAACACCUGCGGCGAAGGCGGGUAGCUGGGCCGACACUGACGCUGAGGCGCGAAAGCCAGGGGAGCGAACGGG
RNAcentral lists this ribosomal RNA (253 nucleotides) under uncultured bacterium. RNAcentral describes it as "partial 16S ribosomal RNA". It matches the Rfam family "Bacterial small subunit ribosomal RNA", at positions 524 to 776 of the family's 1533-position model. The record is from RNAcentral.